UGGGGAAUUUUGGACAAUGGGGGCAACCCUGAUCCAGCAAUGCCGCGUGUGUGAAGAAGGCCUUCGGGUUGUAAAGCACUUUUGUCCGGGAAGAAAUCGCACCUGAUAAUACCGGGUGUGGACGACGGUACCGGAAGAAUAAGGAUCGGCUAACUACGUGCCAGCAGCCGCGGUAUUACGUAGGGUCCAAGCGUUAAUCGGAAUUACUUGGCGUAGAGCGUGCGCAGGUGGUUGUGCAAGACCGAUGUGAAAUCCCCGGGCUUAAACUGGGAAUUGCAUUGGUGACUGCACGGCUAGAGUGUGUCAGAGGGGAGUAGAAUUCCACGUGUAGCAGUGAAAUGCGUAGAGAUAUGGAGGAAUACCGAUGGCGAAGGCAGCCCCCUGGGAUAACACUGACGCUCAUGCACGAAAGCGUGGGGAGCAAACAGG
RNAcentral lists this ribosomal RNA (429 nucleotides) under Bacillota bacterium. Its description in RNAcentral is "Firmicutes bacterium partial 16S ribosomal RNA". It matches the Rfam family "Bacterial small subunit ribosomal RNA", at positions 355 to 776 of the family's 1533-position model. The record is from RNAcentral. Lineage: Bacteria; Bacillati; Bacillota.